AUGAAGUUCGGAGAAAGGACCAUUGUCAGCUUCUGUGUUGGUAGGGCGAUUCUUAGGCGCACCAAGAUACUGGUCCUGAACGAAGCCACUGCUUCGGUGGACAGUGCAACCGAUAACCUGAUCCAGAACACACUACAACAUCAUUUCUCAGGGUCAAUUGUCAUCACGACCGUGCAUCGAAUCACCUCGGUCCUUAACGAUAUAGGCUGGCUGUGGAGUCUGGAGCAACCAAGGCCAGCCAAGUUGUUGGAAGACAAAUUUUCUCCGUUCUCAAAGCUUGUGGUGGAAUCCAUGAUGAGGUUGAUACACACUUGA
Molecule: ribosomal RNA, 315 nt
Filed under: Triticum aestivum (bread wheat)
Lineage: Eukaryota; Viridiplantae; Streptophyta; Magnoliopsida; Poales; Poaceae
Description: partial small subunit ribosomal RNA
Source: RNAcentral